RNAcentral lists this ribosomal RNA (439 nucleotides) under uncultured bacterium. RNAcentral's name for it is "partial 16S ribosomal RNA". It matches the Rfam family "Bacterial small subunit ribosomal RNA", at positions 339 to 795 of the family's 1533-position model. The record is from RNAcentral.
CUACGGGAGGCUGCAGUGGGGAAUAUUGCACAAUGAAGGAAACUCUGAUGCAGCAACGCCGCGUGGAGGAUGACACUUUUCGGAGCGUAAACUCCUUUUAUAUAGGAAGAAGAUGACGGUACUAUAUGAAUAAGCGCCGGCUAACUCCGUGCCAGCAGCCGCGGUAAUACGGAGGGCGCAAGCGUUACUCGGAAUCACUGGGCGUAAAGAGCGUGUAGGCGGAUUAAAAAGUCAGAAGUGAAAUCCUAUAGCUUAACUAUAGAACUGCUUCUGAAACUCUUAAUCUAGAAUAUGGGAGAGGUAGAUGGAAUUUCUGGUGUAGGGGUAAAAUCCGUAGAGAUCAGAAGGAAUACCGAUUGCGAAGGCGAUCUACUAGAACAUUAUUGACGCUGAGACGCGAAAGCGUGGGGAGCAAACAGGAUUAGAUACCCUAGUAGUC